CUUUUACAUGUGCUUUAGUUGUAAACCCUUCAGCAGGGCUUGGUUGGAUUGUAGAAAGCGCAUAACCAAUGGGGUUGGUCUAUGGUGAUGCAAUAUUCUGUUAGUUCUGCAAGAUUGAUUUGGAGGACUUUUACACGUCUUUAGUUGUAAACCCUUCAGCAGGGCUUGGCUAGCAUAACCAAUGGGGUUGGUCAAUGGGGUUGGUCUAUGGUGAUGCAAUAUUCUGUUAGUUCUGCAAGAUUGAUUUGGAGGACUUUUACCUGUGGUUUAGUUGUAAACCCUUCAGCAGGGCUUGGUUGGAUUGUAGAAAGCGCAUAACCAAUGGGGUUGGUCUAUGGUGAUGCAAUAUUAUGUUAGUUCUGCAAGAUUGAUUUGGAGGACUUUUACACGUUUUAGAUGUAAACCCUUCAGCAGGGCUUGGCUAGCAUAACCAAUGGGGUUGGUCUAUGGUGAUGCAAUAUUCUGUUAGUUCUGCAAGAUUGAUUUGGAGGACUUCUACCCGUGCUUUAGUUGUAAACCCUUCAGCAGGGCUUGGUUGGAUUGUAGAAAGUGCAUAACCAAUGGGGUUGGUCUACGGUGAUGCAAUAUUCUGUUAGUUCUGCAAAAUUGUUUUGGAUGACUUUUACAUGUGCUUUAGUUGUAAACCCUUCAGCAGGGCUUGGUUGGAUUGUAGAAAGUGCAUAACCAAUGGGGUUGGUCUACGGUGAUGCAAUAUUCUGUUAGUUCUGCAAAAUUGUUUUGGAUGACUUUUACAUGUGCUUUAGUUGUAAACCCUUCAGCAGGGCUUGGUUGGAUUGUAGAAACUAGAAAGCACAUAACAUUGGGGUUGGUCUACGGUGAUGCAAAAUGCGCAAGUACCGUGAGAACUAUAUGCUAUUUCCGAACAUAAAAAUUAUUGUUGCUUAUCUCUUGUUGUGAGCCUGUGAGGACACAACCACAAACUAAUAAUUAAAGCACUAGAAAUUGGUUCCUGCAAUCAGUUAUCUGAUAAUCUUUCUCGUUGUAUUUGUCUGCAUAGAAGGAAUAUCCAUAUAUUUGUAGUGCAAACAAAAUGAGCCUUUUCAGGUCUUCUUUGUUGUGACUGAUCAGAUUUAUAUUUGACAAGUUGGCUUAUACUGACAUAGUGACAUGCUGUAGUUGCUAGACCCGUUAUUCUAUAU
RNAcentral lists this long non-coding RNA (1160 nucleotides) under Hordeum vulgare. RNAcentral's name for it is "long non-coding RNA (HVUL_LNC013854)". Lineage: Eukaryota; Viridiplantae; Streptophyta; Magnoliopsida; Poales; Poaceae. The record is from RNAcentral.